This is a non-coding RNA of Pongo abelii (Sumatran orangutan), 72 nucleotides long. Lineage: Eukaryota; Metazoa; Chordata; Mammalia; Primates; Hominidae. The record is from Rfam.
UAGGAUAUGAUGUAUUAGGUAGCAUGGAGAAUUUUUGAUUCUCAGGAAUAGAUUCAACUCCUAUAAUUCUAG